Molecule: ribosomal RNA, 439 nt
Filed under: uncultured Virgisporangium sp.
Lineage: Bacteria; Bacillati; Actinomycetota; Actinomycetes; Micromonosporales; Micromonosporaceae
Description: bacterial SSU rRNA
Rfam family: Bacterial small subunit ribosomal RNA
Source: RNAcentral
ACGGGAGGCAGCAGUGGGGAAUAUUGCACAAUGGGCGGAAGCCUGAUGCAGCGACGCCGCGUGAGGGAUGACGGCCUUCGGGUUGUAAACCUCUUUCGACCCUGACGAAGCGUGAGUGACGGUAGGGGGAGAAGAAGCACCGGCCAACUACGUGCCAGCAGCCGCGGUAAGACGUAGGGUGCGAGCGUUGUCCGGAUUUAUUGGGCGUAAAGAGCUCGUAGGCGGCUCGUCGCGUCGACCGUGAAAACCCGCGGCUUAACUGCGGGCUUGCGGUUGAUACGGGCGGGCUAGAGUUCGGUAGGGGAGACUGGAAUUCCUGGUGUAGCGGUGAAAUGCGCAGAUAUCAGGAGGAACACCGGUGGCGAAGGCGGGUCUCUGGGCCGAUACUGACGCUGAGGAGCGAAAGCGUGGGGAGCGAACAGGAUUAGAUACCCUGGUA